This 499-nucleotide ribosomal RNA is filed under the name uncultured bacterium. Its description in RNAcentral is "partial 16S ribosomal RNA". It matches the Rfam family "Bacterial small subunit ribosomal RNA", at positions 30 to 522 of the family's 1533-position model. The record is from RNAcentral.
AUUGAACGCUGGCGGAAUGCUUUACACAUGCAAGUCGAACGGCAGCACGGACUUCAGUCUGGUGGCGAGUGGCGAACGGGUGAGUAAUGUAUCGGAACGUGCCCAGUCGUGGGGGAUAACGUAGUGAAAAUUACGCUAAUACCGCAUACGAUCUAUGGAUGAAAGCGGGGGAUCGCAAGACCUCGCGCGAUUGGAGCGGCCGAUAUCAGAUUAGGUAGUUGGUGGGGUAAAGGCCCACCAAGCCAACGAUCUGUAGCUGGUCUGAGAGGACGACCAGCCACACUGGAACUGAGACACGGUCCAGACUCCUACGGGAGGCAGCAGUGGGGAAUUUUGGACAAUGGGCGAAAGCCUGAUCCAGCCAUUCCGCGUGCAGGAUGAAGGCCCUCGGGUUGUAAACUGCUUUUGUACAGAACGAAAAGGUUUCUACUAAUACUAGGAGCUCAUGACGGUACUGUAAGAAUAAGCACCGGCUAACUACGUGCCAGCCGCCGCAGUA